This 251-nucleotide ribosomal RNA is filed under the name uncultured prokaryote. RNAcentral describes it as "partial 16S rRNA". It matches the Rfam family "Bacterial small subunit ribosomal RNA", at positions 525 to 775 of the family's 1533-position model. The record is from RNAcentral.
ACGUAGGAGGCGAGCGUUAUCCGGAUUUAUUGGGCGUAAAGCGCGUGCAGGCGGCUCUGAAAGUUGGGUAUGAAAUCUCCUGGCUUAACUGGGAGAGGCUGCUCAAAACUACAGGGCUCGAGAAUGGGAGAGGGGGGUGGAAUUCCGGGUGGAGGGGUGAAAUGCGUAGAUAUGCGGAGGAACACCAGUGGCGAAAGCAGCCCCCUGGACCAGUUCUGACGCUCAUACGCGAAAGCGAGGGGAGCAAACGG